AGGACGAACGCUGGCGGCGUGCUUAACACAUGCAAGUCGAGCGGAAAGGCCCUUCGGGGUACUCGAGCGGCGAACGGGCGAGUAACACGUGAGCAACCUGCCCUUAGCUUCGGGAUAGCUCCGGGAAACCGGAAUUAAUACCGAAUAUGACUGCGGCUGACAUCAGCCAUGGUGAAAAGUUUUUCGGCUAGGGAUGGACUCGCGGCCUAUCAGCUAGUUGGUGAGGUAACGGCCCACCAAGGCGACGACGGGUA
This 254-nucleotide ribosomal RNA is filed under the name uncultured bacterium. Its description in RNAcentral is "partial small subunit ribosomal RNA". It matches the Rfam family "Bacterial small subunit ribosomal RNA", at positions 26 to 285 of the family's 1533-position model. The record is from RNAcentral.